Molecule: unclassified non-coding RNA, 337 nt
Filed under: soil metagenome
Description: partial contains 5.8S ribosomal RNA, internal transcribed spacer 2, and large subunit ribosomal RNA
Rfam family: 5.8S ribosomal RNA (bases 1-120)
Source: RNAcentral
GAUGAAGAACGCAGCGAAAUGCGAUAAGUAAUGUGAAUUGCAGAAUUCAGUGAAUCAUCGAAUCUUUGAACGCACAUUGCGCCCGCCAGUAUUCUGGCGGGCAUGCCUGUUCGAGCGUCUUUUUCACCAUCAAGCUCUGCUUGUGUUGGGGUCCUGCGGCUGCCCGCAGGCCCUGAAACCCAGUGGCGGGCUCGCUAGUCACACCGAGCGCAGUAGCACAUCUCGCUCAGGGCGUGCGGCGGGUUCUUGCCGUAAAACAACCCCCCCUUUUCACCAAGGUUGACCUCGGAUCAGGUAGGAAUACCCGCUGAACUUAAGCAUAUCAAUAAGCGGAGGA